Molecule: ribosomal RNA, 1098 nt
Filed under: Daldinia loculata
Lineage: Eukaryota; Fungi; Ascomycota; Sordariomycetes; Xylariales; Hypoxylaceae
Description: eukaryotic LSU rRNA
Rfam family: Eukaryotic large subunit ribosomal RNA (bases 543-1098)
Source: RNAcentral
AAAAGUCGUAACAAGUCUCCGUGGUGACAGCGGAGGGAUCAUUACUGAGUUUAUCUACAACUCCCAACCCUUUGUGAACCUUACCGUCGUUGCCUCGGCGGGCUGUGCUUACCCUGUAGCUACCCUGUAGCUACCCGGUAGGUGCGCUCCAAGCCCGCCGGUGGACCACUAAAUUCUAUUUUUAUACUGUAUCUCUGAAUGCUUCAACUUAAUAAGUUAAAACUUUCAACAACGGAUCUCUUGGUUCUGGCAUCGAUGAAGAACGCAGCGAAAUGCGAUAAGUAAUGUGAAUUGCAGAAUUCAGUGAAUCAUCGAAUCUUUGAACGCACAUUGCGCCCAUUAGUAUUCUAGUGGGCAUGCCUAUUCGAGCGUCAUUUCAACCCUUAAGCCUAGUUGCUUAGCGUUGGGAAUCUGCCCUGUAUUUAUAAGGCAGUUCCUUAAAGUGAUUGGCGGAGUUAGGGCAUACUCUAAGCGUAGUAAUAUUCUUCUCGCUUUUGUAGUUGUCCUAGCGGCUUGCCGUUAAACCCCUAUAUUUCUAGUGGUGACCUCGGAUAGGAGGAUACCCGCUGAACUUAAGCAUAUCAAUAAGCGGAGGAAAAGARAMCAACAGGGAUUGCCCUAGUAACGGCGAGUGAAGCGGCAACAGCUCAAAUUUGAAAUCUGGCCCUAGCGGUCCGAGUUGUAAUUUGUAGAGGAUGCUUUUGGUUAGGUGCCUUCCGAGUUCCCUGGAACGGGACGCCAGAGAGGGUGAGAGCCCCGUACGGUUGGACACCGAGCCUCUAUAUAGCUCCUUCGACGAGUCGAGUAGUUUGGGAAUGCUGCUCUAAAUGGGAGGUAAAUUUCUUCUAAAGCUAAAUACCGGCCAGAGACCGAUAGCGCACAAGUAGAGUGAUCGAAAGAUGAAAAGUACUUUGAAAAGAGGGUUAAAUAGCACGUGAAAUUGUUGAAAGGGAAGCGUUUGCGACCAGACUUUUUCCAGGCGGAUCAUCCGGGUUCUCACCGGUGCACUUCGCCUGGUCUAGGCCAGCAUCGGUUCUCUUAGGGGGAUAAAGGCCUGGGGAACGUAGCUCCUUCGGGAGGUUAUAGCCCCUGGCGUAA